GAAGGCUGAGCUACCAUGCAGUCGAGCGGAACGAUGGAAGCUUGCUUCCAGGCGUCGAGCGGCGGACGGGUGAGUAAUGCAUAGGAAUCUGCCCGAUAGUGGGGGAUAACCUGGGGAAACCCAGGCUAAUACCGCAUACGUCCUACGGGAGAAAGCAGGGGAUCUUCGGACCUUGCGCUAUCGGAUGAGCCUAUGUCGGAUUAGCUAGUUGGUGAGGUAACGGCUCACCAAGGCCGCGAUCCGUAGCUGGUCUGAGAGGAUGAUCAGCCACAUCGGGACUGAGACACGGCCCGAACUCCUACGGGAGGCAGCAGUGGGGAAUAUUGGACAAUGGGCGAAAGCCUGAUCCAGCCAUGCCGCGUGUGUGAAGAAGGCUUUCGGGUUGUAAAGCACUUUCAGUGGGGAAGAAAUCCUCGGGGCCAAUACCCUCGAGGGAGGACAUCACCCACAGAAGAAGCACCGGCUAACUCCGUGCCAGCAGCCGCGGUAAUACGGAGGGUGCGAGCGUUAAUCGGAAUUACUGGGCGUAAAGCGCGCGUAGGCGGCGUGAUAAGCCGGUUGUGAAAGCCCCGGGCUCAACCUGGGAACGGCAUCCGGAACUGUCAGGCUAGAGUGCAGGAGAGGAAGGUAGAAUUCCCGGUGUAGCGGUGAAAUGCGUAGAGAUCGGGAGGAAUACCAGUGGCGAAGGCGGCCUUCUGGACUGACACUGACGCUGAGGUGCGAAAGCGUGGGUAGCAAACAGGAUUAGAUACCCUGGUAGUCCACGCCGUAAACGAUGUCGACUAGCCGUUGGGGUCCUUGUGACCUUUGUGGCGCAGUUAACGCGAUAAGUCGACCGCCUGGGGAGUACGGCCGCAAGGUUAAAACUCAAAUGAAUUGACGGGGGCCCGCACAAGCGGUGGAGCAUGUGGUUUAAUUCGAUGCAACGCGAAGAACCUUACCUACUCUUGACAUCGUGCGAACUUUCCAGAGAUGGAUUGGUGCCUUCGGGAACGCACAGACAGGUGCUGCAUGGCCGUCGUCAGCUCGUGUUGUGAAAUGUUGGGUUAAGUCCCGUAACGAGCGCAACCCUUGUCCCUAUUUGCCAGCGAUUCGGUCGGGAACUCUAGGGAGACUGCCGGUGACAAACCGGAGGAAGGUGGGGACGACGUCAGGUCAUCAUGGCCCUUACGAGUAGGGCUACACACGUGCUACAAUGGCCGGUACAAAGGGUUGCGAAGCCGCGAGGUGGAGCUAAUCCCGAAAAGCCGGUCUCAGUCCGGAUCGGAGUCUGCAACUCGACUCCGUGAAGUCGGAAUCGCUAGUAAUCGUGAAUCAGAAUGUCACGGUGAAUACGUUCCCGGGCCUUGUACACACCGCCCGUCACACCAUGGGAGUGGACUGCACCAGAAGUGGUUAGCCUAACUUCGGAGGGCGAUCACCACGGUGUAACGU
Molecule: ribosomal RNA, 1434 nt
Filed under: Halomonas sp. X22
Lineage: Bacteria; Pseudomonadati; Pseudomonadota; Gammaproteobacteria; Oceanospirillales; Halomonadaceae
Description: bacterial SSU rRNA
Rfam family: Bacterial small subunit ribosomal RNA
Source: RNAcentral